UUUUGGAGCGGCCGAUGUCUGNUUAGCUAGUUGGUAAGGUAAUGGCUUACCAAGGCGACGAUCAGUAGUUGGUCUGAGAGGACGGCCAGCCACACUGGGACUGAGACACGGCCCAGACUCCUACGGGAGGCAGCAGUGGGGAAUUUUGGACAAUGGGCGCAAGCCUGAUCCAGCAAUGCCGCGUGAGUGAAGAAGGCCUUCGGGUUGUAAAGCUCUUUCAGUCGAGAAGAAAAGGUCGUGACUAAUAAUUGCAACUUAUGACGGUAUCGACAGAAGAAGCACCGGCUAACUACGUGCCAGCAGCCGCGGUAAUACGUAGGGUGCGAGCGUUAAUCGGAAUUACUGGGCGUAAAGGGUGCGCAGGCGGUUCUGUAAGUCAGAUGUGAAAUCCCCGGGCUUAACCUGGGAACUGCGUUUGAAACUACAAAGCUAGA
RNAcentral lists this ribosomal RNA (434 nucleotides) under uncultured bacterium. Its description in RNAcentral is "bacterial SSU rRNA". It matches the Rfam family "Bacterial small subunit ribosomal RNA", at positions 219 to 645 of the family's 1533-position model. The record is from RNAcentral.